AGAGCGAACGCUGGCGGCAGGCCUAACACAUGCAAGUCGAACGGACCCUUCGGGGUUAGUGGCGGACGGGUGAGUAACACGUGGGAACGUGCCUUUUGGUUCGGAAUAGCUCCUGGAAACGGGUGGUAAUGCCGAAUGUGCCCUUCGGGGGAAAGAUUUAUCGCCAUUAGAGCGGCCCGCGUCUGAUUAGCUAGUUGGUGAGGUAAUGGCUCACCAAGGCGACGAUCAGUAGCUGGUCUGAGAGGAUGACCAGCCACAUUGGGACUGAGACACGGCCCAAACUCCUACGGGAGGCAGCAGUGGGGAAUCUUGCGCAAUGGGCGAAAGCCUGACGCAGCCAUGCCGCGUGAAUGAUGAAGGUCUUAGGAUUGUAAAAUUCUUUCACCGGGACGAUAAUGACGGUACCGAGAAGAAGCCCGCUAACUCGCGCCAGCAGCCGC
Molecule: ribosomal RNA, 440 nt
Filed under: uncultured soil bacterium
Lineage: Bacteria
Description: bacterial SSU rRNA
Rfam family: Bacterial small subunit ribosomal RNA
Source: RNAcentral